AUGGAUCAGGAAAGCACUUUCGCCCGGGUGGAGAGGACUCUGUGGACGGUCUGGUGUUAUUUCACCGAAGCUGUGAACAGAUUCAUCAGAACGCAGGAAGCUGGUCCCAGCAGCAGUGACCCGGCUGACGGUGAGCCUCCAGACUCCGAACACACACAGGACAACACAGAAGAUUCCCAUGGAGGAGGAAUCAGUGAGGUGCAACUUCUUCCCUCCAUCUCUCUGCUCAGCUCAUCUGCAUCAGUUGUUGCCUGGACAGUUGGCACAAGCGACUCUAAGUCUGAGGAAGGAGACACACAGAAAAGAAGAGGCCAUGAGAGCAAAGGCUCUGAUGGCGGUAAAGCCACCAGACAGGAACACGUCGACCAAACAGGAAAUGACCGAGCACAGCUGCUGGCUAUUGAAAAGGAAACAACAAAUCAACUCAAACGAGAAGAAACUGAGAAUGAAGAAUCCUACACUAGUGAACGAGUCAAAGUGACCAGUGAAGAUAACCAGGUUACAGGAGAUAAUGGAGAUGUUCUGGAUGAAGAGAAAAGUGAAGGAGUUUGCACCAGAACAGCAGAGGAGGUCCGCGUGAUCACAGGGGAGGAAGGAGAAGAGGAGAAUAGUGCAGAAGAGUUGAACACUUGCAUGUUUCAGGUGAGCUCUGAAGCUGGAUUUCAGCCUUCAAUCUGUGAUGGUGAUGAUGUCAUUGUUAUUAGACAAGAGGUUGGGGGUGAAGAUGAUCAGACAGAGGAUGAGACAGCUCAGAUGGAGGAAGAAGACAUCAAUGAGGUUGCAAACAAUCAGGCGAAAGGAGAAGAGGAAAAACAGGAAAACAGCAGCAGAAUGACCACAGAUGGCUAUGACGAGGCAACUCUAUCAACUCACUGCAGCGAGGACGCCGUGCAGACAACACAAGAAAACGCAGAGAAGUUCGUAGAUAAAGGAGAGAAAGUGGUGGUCACUGUUACACGCAGCACCUCUCUCUCAGAUGUGAGUGCAGCAGGAACGAAUCUAGAUCAAAUCAUUGUUGAUGAAGGUGAGAUGGACGUGGAGAGGCUCUCCGGGAAAGUCCACAACAAAGAGAGCCGCUGGGAAAAUGACUGUGCCACCUCCUUGGUUACAGUAAAACCCGAAGGACUGAAGACUGAACAGGAAGCAAGCAGAGAGUCCAAAAAUAUUCCCCAGGUUGCAAUCGAAGGCCAGGAUCCUGCGCUGAACGAAACGAUUCCCAAAGCAUGCGAGGAAACACAAGAGGGGGUUCCUGAGCACAACAAUGAGCUCGGGUCAGAUGAAAACAAAACACAAAGCUUCUUGGAGAGAGGAAAUUAUGGGGAAAUCCGCAACAGUCAAUUACCAGAAGAGGUGGAGAAGGAGGAACAGGCGAGCCUUAAAAACAGUGGCAUGGGAGCAGACUAUUUACUGGAGGAGGAACAAGAUUUAGCUGUGGAGGAGCUCACUGGAAAUCUGCACUUUGCACAAGAAACAGAGGAACCCCCCGUCGGAGUGGGAAACCUGGAGUGCAAGGAGGAAGAGGUUGAGUGUCUGGACACCUCAAUGAAGACGGAGAUCAAACCUUCAGACAAGGACGAGACCUGCAGCAACUCAGUAGAUGAGACAAACAAAGAUCUGCAAGAAGCUGCAGAACUUGGAAAUAACCAAGAUGAAACAUCAAAUUCCCUCGAGGUGAAUGUAGAAAUGACAGAGACACACUUCUGUCAAGAAUCCAUGAAAUCCAUCGAACCCAGCGGUGAUGAGAGCUUUAGUUUAGCAAAGGAAAUCCCUGAUUCUGGGGUUUUGCAACUAAUUGAAUCUAAGUUAUCUGAUGACAGCGCUGUAGAAACUCAAUCCGUUGGGGCUGACACUGAGGAAAGAGAUUACACUGAUGAAGCGGAGGAAGAAAUCUGUGUUACAGGAGAGGAGCUUAUAAUCAGUCAGGAAGACAAAGAAACACCCCUGACUGAACAGUCGGAGUCAUCUCCAAAUCCUGAGGCACAGGCGACAAUAACUCAACCUUCUGUCGAAACAGACCAGGAAGAUAAGAUCGAGACAAUAACGGACACUGAUGCUGUUGAGUCAGGGGCAACAGAAUCCAAAGAUCUUCCUGCAAUGCCAGUGGAGGACACAGAACAUCCAUCCCAACCAGAGGAGCAGCACGACCAAGACACGAGCAGCUCAAUCAGAGGACAAGAAGAUGUCAUCGAUGAGGAAAUCCUAGACUUGUGGAUAGAGGCGGCAAUGUCCAACGAUUCCAGCCAAGAGGAAGAGCCUCAAACUGACACAAUGAAAGACCAGAUGGAGGAAGAGUUGUGUGAAAUGUUACCAGAGGAGUCCGAGCAGAUGCCUUCAUCAGUCAGUUCCACAGAAACGUCUUUGUCAAAUUUAGACUUUGGAUUUUUGGACCAGUCUUCUGUUGAUGUUCAGACCCCGAAACCUGAAGAUACUGGAUCACUUGAAGAUGUGCGUGACACCCUGGCUACUGUGUCAGAAUCAGCCAGUUCCUCUGAACUUUCAGAAGAUAAUUCUGAAUCUCGAGCUGUCAUGAAAGAGGAAACAGGGGAAUCUGUAGAGUCUUUUCUGAGAGGGAAGGAGUCAGCCAGAGGGACCGAACAAAUGGAUUCACAGGAGGAAAAUCAGCUCACUGAGAAACCUGAGACAGCAGGAGAGGAAAACUCAUCUGGGACGGAGGCUGAGACGAAGGCAGGGGGGAGGGACACUGAAGAAGGAGAUGAAAUGUCACUGGUUGAAGGCAUUGAUCAAAAUGAAGAAAAGAUGUUUGGAAUAUCAGUCGAACUCCGAGUUACUGAACCCAGGCUGACUUUGUUAGAGGAGACAGCAUUUUGGACAGAGCUUUGUUCUGGAUCUGAGGACAAGCAGCGUUCAGAGGAUGCACCAGACCACAGAUGGUCCUUACCCGCACUGAGCAGAGGUCAUGUGGCAGCAAGGCAGACAGCAUCAGAGGAUCAGAGUCAGCUAGACGCGCCGGUGCUGGACAUCACAGUGCAGAAGUCACGCAUUGCUGUCAAAAACCCCAAAGCGAGGCCCCCUAAAAACCCCCGCUCCCUGAUACACAAGCCUUCAGCUGAGCCAGCUCCCUCCACUCAUGUGCUGGUCAAAGAUCCUCCCGCUGUGCCUUUAGGUGGAUUGGGGAUUGGGAUCAAACUACCUGGUAGGUGACUUUUUGAUGUGUCCAAAGCUUGUUUUCUUUUCUUGUUCUUGUAUAACUCUUUUGUUUGUGUUUAGGGUUUGGAGCAGGUCUUCCUGUUUUAAAGAAGACUCAAACAUCUGUGGAAGUUGAGAAUAGCCAGGAUACUCAGAUACAGGUGCGACUAAUAAACACCUGCUUUUUAUUGUUGUUGUUGUUGUUAUUAUUGUUGUUGUUGUUAAUAUUAUUAUUAUUGUUGUUGUUGCUGUUGUUGUUGUUGUUGUGAGACAUUAUAUUAACAGAGUGAAAUCUGCAGGAACCUGAAACGCAAACAGAAGAGAAAAGUGAGGGUGUGAAACCAAAGUGGAAGCCACCAGGACAUCCAGGGUAAAUAAUAAUAAAAUAAUGUUAUUAAUACAUGUUAUUCUCAACUAAAUCAGGACAUGUCAGCUUUUUCUAAUUUUCAUUUUUUAUGUCUUCACAGAUUUGGAAUUCCACUUAUGUCUGAACUUAAGACCAAACUAAAGAAAACGCCCAAAGAGUGAAAAAUAUUGUUUUGUUUUUUAAACAAAUCCUGUAAAUAUUUUGAUAUGUUAAAAAUUAUUAUCUUCACUUUUAUUCAGCAGAGAACAAUAAUAAGAUCUCUAUCUUUUUUAAUGCUUACCUUUUAUAAUAAAACAUUAUCUUAAAAAUAAAGUGAAUGGUUUUAUUUUAUAAGGUAAAUGAGUUCUCUGUUUCAAAAGGGAGACUAAAGGACAAGAUCCAUGAAUGCUCUCUCUCUCUCUCUCUCUCUCUCUCUCUCUCUCUCUCUCUCUCUCUCUCUCUCUAAAGAAGACAUGUCAAUCAUGAGUUAAUGAGUCACCUGAAAAUAAUUGCUAUUUCAAAAUAUAUUAAAUUAAUUUUGGAUUUUGUGUGGUUUGUAUUGUCAUUUCAAUCAUACUGUUCAACUUAAAUGUGUUUUUGAGUAGGUUAACAGGAAGAACUCAAAUCCCUUUGAAACCACAUCAAACCACUCUGUACUUUUAACCUUAUAAAUGAAAAUAAACGUUUGGGGCUGCAUAAAUAAGAGGUGACUCCAGGACGGAGGGUUUCUCCAAAAAGAAACGUCGUACGCAGCACGGUGGGCAGUGUUGAAGAGUAAUUUGUCAUAAAUCUUUGUCUAAUUUCUAAUAAAUUGAGUUUUUACUUAAAACAACAGAUGGCGCUGUUGCUAAAACACAACAAGAUCCACGAAGAAGAAACCUCCUGCUGUGAUUGGUUAAAACCAUCAUAUAAGAAUAAACUGACGUUUUCAAACUUGAGCGGCGCUUCCAGAGGUCUCCAAGUGAAACCAACAUAGUUGUUAUAUUUUAGUUUUAUUUAACAUUUAUAGCUUUAAGUUUAGUUGGACCGUUUGAAAUAUUUCAAAUAAAACGUGUCUGUUUCAAGGUAAGUACCGAUAACUUCGUUUUACAAGCUAACGUUAUCCAACAAGCUGCUGGAUGUAAACGUUGGUUUAGUAAACCUGUCCUCGUGUUUAGUCCAGACCACUGAAUUAAUCUGCUUGUAGAACUUGGUCCAGAACUGAUUUUCAGAAUUUUCUGUAAUCCCCGAAAUAAUCUCCAGAUGGGCAAACAUCGACUUCUGGGCUCAUAAUGCAGACUUUCAAACAUUCAAACCGUUUUACAAAGUGUUUAAAAAUAAGUUUACGCGUUUGUUUUUGUUCUGUGACGUGUUUGAACCACGUCCCAGGCCUGUGGGGAGUGCUCGUGUGGAUUUAUAAAACAUUUGAUCAGAAUCUUUCACAAACAGGCUGAGAGCUGUAAAGGUUGACAUGGAUGUGUUUUGUUUUGACUCUUACUUUGAAAGCUAAAACCUAUUAGUAUAUAAAUAAAAUAAAAUGCAGCUGUGCUGUUUACAGCCACCUACAUUCUUGUUAGGGGUUUAAAAGUAGCUUGACAAACUGGACAAUCUGGACUGGUGUGGAAUUCUGAUUUUUAAAAAGGCUGUUUUGUGUUUUUCUGUUUGUUCUCUUUGAUCCACAGGGUGUCCGCCUGCAAAGAUCCUCAGAAAUGGCCCAAAUUAGGUGUUUGAAGUAGAUUUUAUUGCAGAGUUGUUUUGUUUUUAUAGAAUAAGAAUAAAUCCCUACUUUGUUAUAAGAUAAAAGGAAUAUUCCUCCUUCAUGGCCAGUGAGACAGCAAGGCAAACGUCCCUUAUUCAAGAAGAUCCUCCGGCAGAUGAAUGCCGUGAAAAUGUUCCACCUGAAGUUUCUGUGGCUACAACGCUGAAAGUUCAGCCUGAGAAUGAAAUGAGUUCCCCUGUGAGGCUGUGUGAAGGAACCAGACCUGGAUCUAAUAUUAAUACUUUAUCAACACCAACUCUGAGUGGUGGGCAUGGAGGCAAGGCAAGGUCACAGCUAUCUGGGAUACAGUCUGCUGUCACCCCAGUUUUAAAACGCUUAAAUAUCGACAACAAAUGCCCGAACCCUUUAAAACAUGGGAACAGUCCUCACCCAUCAUCUCCUUUUUACCCCGUGGAGGUUUCUACUGCACAUCGAGAAUCAAAAGGAGACUUCUGGAGACAAAUCUGGGCUAAAGAGGCUCCUUUCUCCCUGAUUGAAGAGGAGAGCUUGCCUGAAAUUUCCUCGCUUGAGCUUACCUACUUACACUUAACAGCAAACGAUUCAGUCCUCCCUCAAGGUUCAACUGCAACAUUUAGUGAUGAAACCCAUCAAAUUCAAGUGAGUGUUGGAGAAAGUGGUGGAUCUUCUGAGGUACCACAGCUGACCGCCACGACAACGAGCGCAGACCUCCGUACCAAGAGUGCUUCUGCAUUGGCGGGGAUACUAGACACUGAGAUCACUCUGCUUGAUGUUUCGUACAACAAUGAUCUCUCACCGGUUGGUCAGAUUUCGUCUUUGGACAUUAUUCGUGAUAUUCCCGCGUGUCAUUAUUUGAAUGACAGCAACACUUUGCCAGAACCAAGUAGACGGAUUGAGUCACAACCCAGCAGUUCAAACGUGUUUCUAAACAAGGAUGUGUCGAGUACGAGUAUGCAAUCCCCAAAGUGUGCAGCAGAAAGGACUAUCAGAAUGUCCCUGGAAGUAACUCGUGACAUUUCUGUGGGUAGUACCUUGGAAAAUGGCACAUUUUCAUCAGAGACUAGUGGACAGAAAAUGCAAACAUCUCACACAUCAGAUGAGGACAAAGUUGUCCCCCAACCUGCAAAUAUUACUCACGAUAUAAGCGCCUCUAGUGGUAACAGUAGUUCAAAGGAAAUCCCGUCUGAUGUGUGUCUGCAUUCUGGACCCAAAGAGGUCAACAAUCUUGUAGAAACAAAGAAUGAAGAGAACCAGACCUGCUGUGACACCAAGUCAACCAACAAGAUGUCACAGCAAAGUCCAGAACCCGCAGCAUCAGCCAACGACACGUUUACAGUCCCGUCUUCCAACAUGACUGCUUCUUCUGAUUCUAGCACCUCUGCUUCCUGUUCUGGGAAGAAUACGCUAGACCUUCCAACUGUAAACAAUCCAACCGCAGAAUCUGAGACCAAGAAUCAAGCGGAGUCGGUUGCCAAAACAUCCUUUGUUGUAAAUCAAAGCAGCUUUUCUGAAAAGAAAAACUUUGAAAAAUCCUCUCUUCAAAAAAGCAGCGGGGGCUCUACUUUAGAAGCUGCUGCCGUCGGCUUCGAGAACCUCACGUUUGACUGUAAAGCCCCCUCUCAGAGAAAUGGCACGAUCACUCUGUCGGAGAUCAGCUUGACUGAUGGUCAUCACACUUUGGACAAGCCCUCCUCUCCUAAAGUCUGUAAUUUAACCACCAGCCUAAAUCGCAAUGAUUCAGAAGAAAACCCCAAAGAGCUGCCGAGGCACGAGGCCAUGCCGCCGCCAGGGGCGGAGGAAAAACCUGGUGACACUUUGGAAGUCACACCUGCUCUGGAAGGCGUUUCUGGAGAUGAUGGAGGUGACGCCAAACAUCUGUCGCAGUCGGGUCUGCCUGUAAGGGAUGGUUCUUCCGACACGCCAAACAACCAAAGUGUGGAUGCCGUGAGCAACAAAACACCCGAGUUCAAUCUGGAUAAAACUCUGGAUUUUAGAGUAGACCUUUUGAUUACUUCAACACCGAUGACCAGCUGUAAAAGUUUUAACGUUGGCUCAAUCAGAGAGGCGGCUCACAAAAAGCUUUAUGAAGCUGGUCCCAGUAAGCCUGCUGACGCGGCGGUAUCGGAUAUCCCACCCAACAUAGUCGGUGACCGAAAAACCUUCAUGAGGCAGCCUGCUGUUGGAACCCUUCGCCCGCCUUCAAGAGUUGCUCCCCAGUCGUCAAUGAGCCGGCGGGGAUCCACCGUCCCUGGACGCCUGGAGAAGAUGUCGGCCGGCCUGCCUCUGAAGCAUUCCAGAAUCCAAGAGGCUGCUGGGAAACCCUCUGCUGCUAUGGAGGAGCCUCGGAGG
RNAcentral lists this long non-coding RNA (7559 nucleotides) under Nothobranchius furzeri (turquoise killifish). RNAcentral's name for it is "lncRNA (ENSNFUG00015010039.1)". Lineage: Eukaryota; Metazoa; Chordata; Actinopteri; Cyprinodontiformes; Nothobranchiidae. The record is from RNAcentral.